UACGUAGGGUGCAGGCGUUGUCCGGAAUUAUUGGGCGUAAGGAGCUUGUAGGCGGUUUGUCGCGUCUGCUGUGAAAUUUCGGGGCUCAACCCCGAACUUGCAGUGGGUACGGGCAGACUAGAGUGUGGUAGGGGAGACUGGAAUUCCUGGUGUAGCGGUGAAAUGCGCAGAUAUCAGGAGGAACACCGGUGGCGAAGGCGGGUCUCUGGGCAAUAACUGACGCUGAGGAGCGAAAGCGUGGGGAGCGAACAGG
This 253-nucleotide ribosomal RNA is filed under the name uncultured bacterium. Its description in RNAcentral is "partial 16S ribosomal RNA". It matches the Rfam family "Bacterial small subunit ribosomal RNA", at positions 524 to 776 of the family's 1533-position model. The record is from RNAcentral.